RNAcentral lists this long non-coding RNA (244 nucleotides) under Phascolarctos cinereus (koala). RNAcentral describes it as "SOX2 overlapping transcript exon 3 (ENSPCIG00000001863.2)". The stretch from base 34 to 244 matches the Rfam family "SOX2 overlapping transcript exon 3", at positions 55 to 276 of the family's 276-position model. Rfam says of the family: SOX2 overlapping transcript (SOX2OT) is a long non-coding RNA, containing at least 5 exons. The SOX2 gene, an important regulator of neurogenesis, lies within one of the introns of SOX2OT. The record is from RNAcentral. Lineage: Eukaryota; Metazoa; Chordata; Mammalia; Diprotodontia; Phascolarctidae.
AGGAGGAGGAGGAGGAGGACGAGGAGGAGGACGAGGAGGAGGAGGAGGACGAGGACGAGGACGAGGACAAGGACGAGGACGAGGACAGAGAGAGGGGAAACGCGGAGCUCCUUCAACUCGCGUUGUCCGGUGAGAAGUAAGCAAGCAGGAACUGACAGGAGGCUCCGGGAGCCCUCGCCUCCUUUCGCUUUUUUACCUGCCAAUCAAACCGCUAGAAGACAACACCCUGAUCUGGCAUGGACAU